GCCAACAAUCUAGCCCCCCCCAUUUAACACAUGAACAACACCUUCUUAAACAUUUUUCAUAAAUCAUUUUUACAAAUUAGUAGAGGAGAUCAAAAAUUAUACAGGAGCUAUAAAAAUAGUACCGCAAGGGAAAGAUGAAAUAUUAAUGAAAUAUUCUGAAGCAAAUAAAAGUAGAGAUUAAACCUCGUACCUUUUGCAUCAUGGUUUAACAAGUCUAAUCAAGCAAAAAGAUUUUUAGUUUGACACCCCGAAACUAAGCGAGCUACUUAAAGGCAGCUUUUAGAGCAAACUCAUCUCUGUAGCAAAAGAGUGAGAAGACCAUUAAGUAGAGGUGAUAAACCUACCGAGCAUAGUGAUAGCUGGUUGCUUAAGAAAAGAAUUUUAGUUCAACCUAAAUUUACUUUCACAACCCUCAAGUGUAAAAUUUAGAGUAAUUCUAAUAAGGUACAGCCUAUUAGAAUCAGGAUACAACCUUAACCAAUGGGUAAGUAUAUUUUCCCCUGUAACAAAGUGGGCCUAAAAGCAGCCACCUUAAAAAUAGCGUCAAAGCUUAAUUACAGUACAAAUAAAUUCCACAUUUAAAAUCUAACCCUUAAUUAAUAUUAAGCAAUUCUAUAUAAUUAUAGAAAUUUUUAUGUUAGAACUAGUAACAAGAAUAAGACAUUCUCUAAAAUGCAAGUGUAAGUCAGCAUAGGACAAUACACUGACAAUUAACAUUAUUAAUAUGUUAGUAGUUACAUCAUCAAGAAAACUCUACUUAUUUUCAUGUUAACCUAACACUAGAGCAUUACAAGAAAGAUUAAAAGAAAAAGAAGGAACUCGGCAAACAUUAACCUCGCCUGUUUACCAAAAACAUCGCCUCUUGAAAAACAUAAGAGGUCCAGCCUGCCCAGUGACUUAUGUUCAACGGCCGCGGUAUCCUAACCGUGCGAAGGUAGCGCAAUCACUUGUUCUUUAAAUAAGGACUAGUAUGAAUGGCAUCACGAGGGUUAUACUGUCUCCUUUUUCUAAUCAGUGAAACUAAUCUUCCCGUGAAGAAGCGGGAAUAAUUUUAUAAGACGAGAAGACCCUAUGGAGCUUUAAACUAAACAACAAAUAUCUACUUAUUCUAAAUUCAAGAAGAACCAAAAUUAUUCAGAUAUUAUGAUUGCUAGUUUUAGGUUGGGGUGACCAUGGAGAACAAUACAACCCCCAUGUCGAAAUGAUUUUAAAAAUCUAAGCUGCGAGUAACAACUCCAAGCAUCAACACCUUGACGUCAAUUGACCCAAUUUUUGAUCAACGAACCAAGUUACCCUAGGGAUAACAGCGCAAUCCACUUCAAGAGCUCAUAUCGACAAGUGGGUUUACGACCUCGAUGUUGGAUCAGGAUAUCCUAGUGGUGCAGCCGCUACUAAAGGUUCGUUUGUUCAACGAUUAAAAUCCU
Molecule: ribosomal RNA, 1424 nt
Filed under: Pseudopaludicola falcipes (Hensel's swamp frog)
Lineage: Eukaryota; Metazoa; Chordata; Amphibia; Anura; Leptodactylidae
Description: partial 16S ribosomal RNA
Rfam family: Bacterial large subunit ribosomal RNA
Source: RNAcentral